RNAcentral lists this ribosomal RNA (253 nucleotides) under uncultured bacterium. RNAcentral's name for it is "partial 16S ribosomal RNA". It matches the Rfam family "Bacterial small subunit ribosomal RNA", at positions 524 to 776 of the family's 1533-position model. The record is from RNAcentral.
UACGUAGGGGGCAAGCGUUGUCCGGAUUUAUUGGGCGUAAAGAGCGUGUAGGCGGCCAGGUAGGUCUGCUGUGAAAACUCGAGGCUCAACCUCGAGAUGUCGGCGGAAACCAUCUGGCUAGAGUCCGGAAGAGGAGAAUGGAAUUCCCGGUGUAGCGGUGAAAUGCGCAGAUAUCGGGAAGAACACCCGUGGCGAAGGCAGCUCGCUGGGACGUUACUGACGCUGAGACGCGAAAGCGUGGGGAGCAAACAGG